GGCAAGAUGGCCGAGUGGUCUAAGGCGUGUGACUCAAGCUGAAAAAUGCUUGCCAGCGAUGACUGGUUUCUCAUAGGGCAACCUGCGUGGGUUCGAAUCCCACUCUUGUCA
This is a non-coding RNA of Irpex rosettiformis, 111 nucleotides long. Lineage: Eukaryota; Fungi; Basidiomycota; Agaricomycetes; Polyporales; Irpicaceae. The record is from the annotation of a GenBank genome assembly.